This 86-nucleotide transfer RNA is filed under the name Desulfuromonas sp. RNAcentral describes it as "tRNA-Leu". It matches the Rfam family "tRNA". Rfam says of the family: Transfer RNA (tRNA) molecules are approximately 80 nucleotides in length. Their secondary structure includes four short double-helical elements and three loops (D, anti-codon, and T loops). Lineage: Bacteria; Pseudomonadati; Thermodesulfobacteriota; Desulfuromonadia; Desulfuromonadales; Desulfuromonadaceae. The record is from RNAcentral.
GCCGAAGUGAUGGAAUUGGUAGACAUGACGGUCUCAAAAACCGUUGCACUCCGUGCGUGCCGGUUCGACUCCGGCCUUCGGCACCA